This is a long non-coding RNA of Globicephala melas (long-finned pilot whale), 3443 nucleotides long. RefSeq lists it as uncharacterized. The record is from RefSeq and is a predicted model, not a curated record. Lineage: Eukaryota; Metazoa; Chordata; Mammalia; Artiodactyla; Delphinidae.
AGAAGGCAGCAGCGGGGUUGCAGAGGGGCAGCAAACCCGGGAGGUGGGUCCCAGAGCCAGGAGAGGGGCAGGGCCUAGCACCCCCGGACGCUGCUCCCAAGCCAAGGGAGGAAGCUGAGGCCAGACGUGGGUGACACAGCUGUCACUGGAGCAGCCAGGGUUAGAGGGAGGGGAGACCCCAGGGGACACGAGGCAGCCAGGUCGGGAGAGAGCGGGCCUGUGCCCGCGGCAGUGCUGAAGGAAGAGAGGGCCCACCCCAGGCAGUAGCCGGGAGCUGGCGGGGGACUCGGGGCGGGGGGCCGUCUGACCUGCGGAGGUGAGGUCACCUUAGGACUCAGGAAGGGGAGCUUCAGGUAGGGGCUGGGAAAGUCGAGGUGGCAGGGCCAUUAGAGGAGGGUCCCGGAUUAGGGAGGGUGUCGCCCAGCAGAACUGGGUGGUGGGCGCGGAGGAUGGUGCUCGUGUGGGGACAAAAGACCGAGGGGCCGGCCCUGAAAGAUUAGAAAGGAAGAGAUGCUAAAACUGGGGUUUAAAAGGCGUGGUACCUGUUAAUGCCUGACUUUUCAUAAAUCACCGCUUUUGAGCACAAAAUGCAGUAAUUCCCAACAAGUGUUCCCUGUUACCUAGAGGGCGCCUGUCCCGCGCGUUCUGUGCAGCUGCAGCAGUCGUGGGGCGGGGGUUUACUUCUCUUUGCCGCGCUGGGGAGGCACCGCCCCGCCUCCACCCGGAGGGGCUCCGCGUACCCGCCCCCCAGCCCCCCCAGCUUGGCCGCUGUCGCUGGUAGCGGAGCAGACACUGUCGCGGCGGCACUUAGAAGCCUGCCCCCGGGCGUCCUUGGAGCAGCCCUGGGGACGCGCGAUUUCCAGGACACCGUGCAGUAAUCUCACAAGACACCCCGCGCGACACACGGCGACGCGCCACGUGUUCGUCUGCCUGGUGACGUGAAGGAGACAGACGCGGUCCGGCCAAGGUUAGAGGAGAGGUCCCGCUGACCCCGCCGCCACCCCACGGAGCACGGGCGCCCCAGAACUCGCCGCCCCCUUCCCCGAGGCCAGCUUGGGGCCAGGGGCACGGACGGGGCCAGUGAGUAGUGAGGCGCUGGCGGCACAGGGGACUCGGACAGGGUGACUGUCCCUAGGCUAGCCCGUGCGGCCUGGGCUUCUCAGUCCGCAGGAACCCUGCGCCCUCCUGGCCACCACGGGGUGGAGCCAGGCAGCAGCACAGCGGAGCCCGAAGCGGUCGGGGACCCACAGCGGAGCACGGUGGCUCGCCUGUCCUUCCUGCUCGGUUCCUCGUGGGAGCCAGACGUGGAGUCGUCCACGUCCUGAGCCAGCAGACCCCCUUUCUUCCUGUCACCCGAAUCUGGAGACAGCUCCUGUGGCACCAGAGUGAAACCCAGCAGAGGGUCUGGGCAGGGGCUGGGGGGUGGAGAGAGAGAAGGGCCAGCGGAGCCCGAGGGACCCUCUCUGACCAGCCCCUCCCCACCCUGUCUGGCUAGUUGCCCGCUCACAUUCCUACCAAGCAGGACAGCAGGCUGCAGCAGACACCCUGUCCAAGCCCACCCUGUUGCUGGGAGUAGUGAUGUGGACCCCUGACCCCCUCGGUGUGCACACCUGUCACCUCUGGCACUGCAGACCCUUGGGGGCAAGUUGGACAGAGGAGAUAGCUCGGCACUCCACAGGACAGGCUCCCAGCCGGGGUGCUGGGUGGGAAGGGGCCGUCCUCGCCUUCCGGCAGCCCAGGCCAGCCGGGUGGGGUGGGGGGGAGAUGAAAGGCUGUAACAGGUCCUCAGUUACCACCUCUCCCUUCACCGGGGACACAGACCCGCCCCUCCCCCAGACAUCUUGAAGCCGGGGGAGGUGUGAAUGGCCUCCUUUGUGCCUCUGAAUUGAAGGCAAUUAGGUGCUACUUAUCUGUGGGGGGCAUUUGGGUCCUCUUUGCAAACCCACCUCCCACCCACCCCGCUUCUCCUGAGCUUAUAAGUGCAGCCCAGCCCUGCCAAGACUGAGGCGGACCCUGUGCUCCUCCUGGCCCUCCUGCGCGGCCGGGGCACCCCGGUCCCAGCCCCCACCAUCUGUCCAGAGGCGGAUCCUGAGUGUGGCCGCACCACCCAACAAAGCCUCCCUCCUCCGCCUUUCCUGGUGCCUGCGAGCCAGCCUCCAGCUUUGGCUCAGGGGACCGGGUCUCCCAGAGAAGCUGUGCAGGGCCAGCGCACACCGCCAGGCCCGCCAAAGUCUCCCAGGGGAGCCUGUCUGUCCCAGCCCAGGUGUGCAGCAGAGGGGACCACCCCCAGACCGUGGGCAAGGAGGAGGUGAAGUCCUCAGGAGUGUGCGCCAGGGACGCCCACACCUGGGCUGGGGCUUGCGGGUUGUGCCGGACCCCUCCAGCCGGUGAACCCUUCUCGGAAGCAGAAACCACAGUGGCGGUCUUCCCUGCUCAGACCCCUUGGAACUUCUCUUCCCCGCCCCCCCCCCCGCCCUGGAGGGGCUGCCCCCACCCUCUCUGAGCCAGGAUGCCCACCUUACACUCGGUACACAUGGCCUUCAAGCUCUAAGUCCCUGGGGCCCACUUCUGCAAGAGGGUCACAGGUGAGUGCGUCUCGCAGGUCACGAAACUGCUCAUUUCGGAGGGCCCACCAUGGCUCCUCCUGCGAAGCCGGGUGCCUUCGUUCGGCAUCCGGACUGCGGCCUGUUCGCCGGCCACCUGGAGUCCUGCAGGGCUGCUUAGGGACAGCACGGCCCGGAGCCCACCGUGCUUCUGUCCUUGUGAGCUUCCUGUGGUUUCCAGACUUGACGGAACGCUUUGUCGUUGGCGGAGGGGGCUUUCUUCGUCUGUCUUUUAGUCUUUGUGACUUAAUCACUGCUCUUAGGUGUCAAGUCCUACGUGGCCAAAAGUGGGGCUGGUAUUAUCUGUAAGUUUGCAUUUUUUAAAAAGUUUUAAUAAUGACCAUGGACACAUCUUCACCUCAUGGGGGUUCUUAGUGCUGCCCUAUCUCAUAAUUAGAAAUCAGAGAACAGACGUGCAGGAGACAGAGCCUGGGUACACGGGGAGUCCACGGGAGGGCUUCCCCAGACCGCAGGCCUUUGCCGAGGGUGGGCUCCGCCAGCCGCCACUGCACCCCCCGCCCCGUGAGUCAGAGUUCCUUGUCUGCGGGUGAAAGAAACUGGUUUCUGGAAGGGAGCAUUGGGCAGCGGUGAGGGGCCGGUGUCAGGAUUGCUGUCCACUCUAUCGUCCUCUUCGACAUCCACGCCUCUGGACCCCCUCCACACUCGAGCUGAAGGCGAGGAGGGGUGUCGCCUUGGCCCAGCGGGAGGCUGGAGGGCGGGCUGCUCUCCUGAGGUCCCGCCGCCGGCACCGUCUGCGGUCACAGCUGGUGGCACCUCCCGGGGUGGGGGGCCCUGUCCCCCCCAGGCAGCACUUUCAGCCACACGGACUGGGUGCCCUCC